AGCGCAGGCGGACGGGUCAGUUCAAAGUGGAAUCCCAGGGCUCAACCCUGGACGUGCUUUGGAUACUGCCUGUCUUGAGUUCGUGAGAGGAAAGUGGAAUUCAGGGUGUAGCGGUGAAAUGCUUAGAUAUCCUGAGGAACACCAGUGGCGAAAGCGACUUUCUGGCACGAAACUGACGCUGAGGCUCGAAAGCGUGGGUAGCGAACG
This 207-nucleotide ribosomal RNA is filed under the name uncultured bacterium. Its description in RNAcentral is "partial 16S ribosomal RNA". It matches the Rfam family "Bacterial small subunit ribosomal RNA", at positions 568 to 774 of the family's 1533-position model. The record is from RNAcentral.